UACAAGAUAGUGGGCUAGGCACCAGGAAUACAGCAGGAAACACACUAGACAUGGCUCUGCCCUCACGGGGCUUUUCUAAUACCACAGUUCAGUAGAUGAUGAUAUCCUUACUGGACCAGACACACAACCAACUUCAUUUACUCCAGAAUUGGGCUCCACAGUUGCAGCUGUCCUGGGAAGCACAUAGGCUCAGAUUCCAUACCCUGAGUGGUAAGGUCUUGAGCAUUUUGGCUCUUAAUCACUCACUGAAGUAGAAAGAAUCCACCUCCAUGCCCAAGCACUGAGUCCCUGGUGUCAAGCCCGAGUGACCAACUGAGAAUGCACUUGCCCUUCAGAAUUUUCAUAGAUUAGUGGAAGAAACUGCUGCUAACCCAUAAAGGGGGAGAGGAGAGGAUCAUCUUAUGGCAACCUUUGGGUUUACACAACGAAAUAGAAGCCACUCAAGAAAGCCUUCACAGAGCAAUUGAGACUAGUGAAUCAUCAUCCCCAAUUGACUCCCUGCCUCUGCCUAGAGAAAAAGAAAAAGUGGCUAAGAUAAUUGAAACAAUAACCUGCCAUCAGAUUUGGGAGAGGGACAGGGAUAAAACUCACUGCU
This 595-nucleotide long non-coding RNA is filed under the name Pan troglodytes (chimpanzee). RNAcentral describes it as "long non-coding RNA NONPTRT014106". Lineage: Eukaryota; Metazoa; Chordata; Mammalia; Primates; Hominidae. The record is from RNAcentral.